AGCAAAGGGGACUCGGCCGCCAUGUUAGGAGUACUGGGACGAUUCCGCGGAGCCGGGCAGAGGUUUUAGGGGUGCGCAGGAGUCAAGUGGUGGUUCAGUGGGGACGGAAUGAUUAACAAAGGCGUCCGAAGAAAUCGUUGUUGGAAGGUGACCAAGGUGGAAAGAGACGUUGCUUUGGCCCUGCAAGUAAGAAGAGAGAGGGAAUAGCCUGAAGGAGUAACACUAAAUUUAAAAUGACACUUUUUUACCAACCAGCGAAAGCAGAUGUUCAAAGGGGAUAUUGGCCAGAGUCUGUCACACUAAGAUGAGAAAUGUCCUUUCUUCCUGAAGGUGUCUGAUGUGUAAAAAUAUGAUAUACUUUGUGCUGUUUCCUCCCUUCCCUUUUGCAUAUUAUUCUGAAACAACAUUAACUAGUUACUUUGCGUCAUUGAAGAAACAGUCUCACUCUGUCACCCAGGCUGGAGUGCAAUGGCUCGGUCUCAGCUCACUGCAACCUCCGCCUCCUGGAUUCAGGCAGUUCCCCCACCCCACCCUCCCGAGUAGCAGAGACGGGGUUUCACUGUGUUGGCCAGGCUGGUCUCGAACUCCUGACCUUGUGGUCUGCCCGCCUCGGCCCCCCAAAGUGCUGGGAUUACAGGCGUGAGCCACCGCACCCAGCCAAUCUAACCAUUUUCAAGAUUUGAUCUGCAAAUACCUGAAGUAAGUACAAGCACUGUGGCCCAGUUAAAGAGUGUUAGAACUGUAAGAAGUCCAAAGGCAUAGCUAAGAAUUGCUUUAGAGUCAGUUGUGGGUUCUGAAUUCUUGCUCUGAUAGUUAGCAACUAUGUCUACUUUGGCAAAUUUAGGUUUUGAAGCCUUCCAUAUCUUUAAAAGGAGGUAACAUUUAACAGAGCACCAAAUACAAGGUUUUCUGUAAUAUUAGUUCCAUAGCAUGGUCUGCAAACUUCCAACAUCAGAAUCUCCUGGGAUAUAUGCUAAAUGCAGAUUCUGGUUUCCCAACCAGAAUAUACUGCUUAAAAAUCUGAGGGUUAGUUCUAGGAAUCUGCAUUUUUUUCUAUACAAUGUAUGUAUUAGGGUUCCCUGGAGGGACAGAACUAAUAGGAGAUACAUAUAUAUACACACAUAUAUUUAUUAAGUUUAUUGAGAACUUACACGAUCACAAGGUCCCACAGUAGGCUGGCUGCAAGCUUGAGGAAAAGAGAGAGCCAGAGUCUGAGUCUGAAAACUGAAGAACUUGGGGGUCCAGUGUCUGAGGGCAGGAAGCAUCCAGCGUGGGAGAAGGAUGGAAGCUGGGAGGCUAGGCCAGUCUCUCCUCUUCACGUUUUUCUGCGUGCUUAUAUUCUACCUAUGCUGGUAGCUGAUUAGACUGUGCCCACCAGAUUGAGAGUGGGUGGGCCUUCCCCAGCCCACUAACUCAAAUGUUAAUCUCAUUUGGCAACACCCUUACAGACAAACCCAGGAUCAGUAUUUUGCAUCCUUCAAUCAAGUUGACACUUAGUAUUAACCAUCACAAUGUAUGAUUUUUAAAAUCUGCAUUUUUAAUAAGCUACUAGUUUAUUUUUCCACCUAAUCCAAUUCCUAAUUUUAUUUGAAAGCACCAAGGUAAAUAGUUCCUAAAUCACUGUUAUUUAAAUUGUGCUCCAGUACCCCUUAUUCUUGCUGCAAUUCCAAGACAGAGAUAACAAAAAUUUUUUUUUCAAUGUUUUGUUUUUUUGAGACAGAGUCUCGCUGUGUCCCCCAGGCUGGAGUGCAGUGGCUCGAUCUCGGCUCACUGCAAGCUCCGCCUCCCGGGUUCACGCCGUUCUCCUGCCUCAGCCUCCUGAGUAGCUGGGAUUACAGGCAUGUGCCACCACACCCUGCUAAUUUUUUGUAUUUUUUUUUUUAGUAGAGACGGGGUGCAUGCUGCAUGCUCCGCCUCCCGGGCUCUCGCCAUUCUCCUGCCUCAGCCUCCGGAGUAGCUGGGACUACAGGCGCCUGCCACCACGCCCGGCUAAUUUUUUGUAUUUUUACUGGAGACGGGUUUUCACUGUGUUAGACGGGAUAGUAUUGAUCUCCUGACCUCGUGAGCCACCGCGCCCGGCCUGCCAAAAUUUUUAAUGUUUGCAUGUACAUAGUUACUCAACAAAGAGGCCAGGUGUGGUGGCUCACGCCUAUAAUGCCAACACUUUGGGAGGGUUGCCUGAGCCCAGGAGUUCGAGACCAGCCUGGGCAACAUUGUAAGAGCCUGUCUCUUAAAAAUAUAUAUUUUGGGGAGCCAGGUGUGGCACCUCACGCCUGUAAUCCCAACACUGGGAGGCUGAGGUGAGUGGAUUGCUUGAGCUCAGGAGUUCGAGAUCAGCCUGGGCAACAUGGCGAAACCCUGUCUCUACCAAAAAAAAAAAAAAAAAAAAAAGUAGAGGCAUCGUGGUGUGUGCCUGUGGUCCUGGCUACUGGGAAGUCUGAAGUGGGAGGAUCGCUUGAGCCUAGGAGGUGGAGGUUGGAGUACGCCAAGAUCACACCACUGCAUUCCAGCCUUGGUGUCAGAGUUAGACCCUGUCUCAAAAAAUAUAUUUUAAAAUGAUAUUAAGUAAAGAAUAUAGUCCAGCCACAUGAGCAAGUAUUGCUUAUCUAGAAAGACGUAUAAUAAAGUUCUUUUGGGGAGAUAAACUAUGAUCCAUUCUAUGUUUCAUGUAAAUCAGGGGCAGCCAAUCUUCUGGCUUCCUUGGGCCACAUUGGAAGAAUUAUCUUGGGCCACACAUAAAAUACACUAACACUAAUGAUAGCUGAUGAGUUUUUAAAAAGAAUCACAAAAGCAAUGUUUUAGCAAAGUUUAUGAAUUUGUGUUGGGCUGCAUUCAAAGCUGUCCUGGGCCGCAAGGUGGAAAAAACUUGAUCUAAAGUAUUUGAUUUUUUUAGAAAAGUUUUUGAAUGGCCAGGUGUGGUGGCUCACACCUGUAAUCCCAGCACUUUGGGAGGCCGAGGCAGGCGGAUCACGAGAUCAGGAGAUCGAGACCAUCCUGGCCAACAUGCUGAAACUCCAUCUCUACUAAAAUACAAAAACUUAGCCAGGCAUGCUGGCAUGCGCUUGUAGUCCCAGCUACUCGGGAGGCUGAGGCAGGGGAAUCACUUGAACCCAGGAGGCGGAGGUUGCAGUACAGUGAGCCAAGAUCGCGCCACUGUACUCCAGCCUGGUGACAGAGCAAGACUGUCUCAAAAAAAAAAAAAAGGAAGCUUUUGAAUAAGAAGCAACUCUACAGUACUCUAUUGUAGACAACCAAAGUAUUAAUAUUUGGGGGGCACAAUUUCAACCAACUUUAAAUUAUUUCAUUCUGGAAGUAUGUGUUGAGUAAAUAUGAAGUAUAAGGCCCCUAGAGGUACAGAUGGCUAUGGCCGUCUAAACCAUUUUACUCUUAACUUUUAGUGUCAUGGACCUCUUUGUCAAUCUAGUGAAGUCUAUGGACCGCUUUUUUUUAAAAAAGCCUUUAAACAUAUAAAGUACAGUACAUUGAAUUACAAAAGGAUCCAAGAAUAUUGAAAUAGUUACCAAAAAAAUUUGAUAUAGAAAUAUAUGUGGUUUAUUAAUGAAUAAGAUCUAGCAGUGGCCUUACUAUAAUUUCAACACAGUAGCGUGGUGAGCAUAAAUAUUUCAACUUAUCUGCAACAAUUGUAAUGUGAUAUGGAAAUAAUCAGUUUAAUUGUGACAGUCACAUUUACUGCUAACUACUGUGAUUGACUGGCUAUGUUUACAUUUUAUUAGAAGUUAUUGAAAGUAGAUGCCAGGCAUGGUGGCUCAUGCCUGUAAUCCUAGCACUUUGGGAGGCCAAAGUGGGCAGAUCAUUUGAGCCCACGAGUUCGAGACCAGCCUGGCCAACAUGAUGAAGCCCUGUCUCUACUAAAAAUAAAAAAAAAAAUUAGCCUGGCAUGGUGGCCUGCUGUAGUCCCAGCUACUCACAAGGCUGAGGCAGAAGAAUCACUUGAACCAGGGAGGCAAAGAUUGCUGUGAGCUGAGAUCACGCCACUGCACUCCAGCCUGGGCAACAGAGCCCGACCCUGUCUCAAAAUAAAAGAGAGAUGUAAUGGACCCCUUUAAUUAAUCUAUAAACUCCUAAUUAAGAACCCUGGUUAAAAUUUUUUAAUAGGAGCUUGUCUUCUUCACUGUUGUAUCCAAAGCCUGACUGAAAUCUGUAGACACCUAAGCAGUGAAAAAUUUGAUGCCUUAACCUAUAUAAUUUAAAAUCAAAAUAUUUACACUAUAAGGUGAAUUUAAGGAAGAUCUCAUUUUUCUCAUGGUGAAGACUAAGAUACUUUUUCAAAAUUACUAAAUUUUCAUUUGUUUCAUCAGGGAUGAGGUUGGGGGAGGAUCUAGCUCCUUUAUUAAUACCUGAAUAUAUAGGUUUUAAUAUCCAAGCUUGACUAUAUCCACUACACUUGGUACACAACAGAACAAAUGAAUGAACAUUUUCAUGCCUGUAAUCCUAGCACUUUGAGAAGCCAAGGCAGGAGGAUUGCUUAAGCCCAGGAGCUUGUGACCAGCUUGGACAACAUAGGGAGACCUUAUCUCGACAAUAAAUUUAAAAAUUAGCUGGUUGUGGUGGCACGUGCUGGUAGUCCUAGCUACUGGGGAGGCUAAGGUGAGAGGAUCGCUUGAGCCCAAGAGGUUGAGGCUGCAGUGAGCCAUGAUCAUGCCACUGCACUCCAACUUGGGCUACAGAGCAAGACCUUGUCUCUCAACUAAAAAUAAAAAAUAAAAUUCACGAUACUCCCCAAAAGCUGAUGAUAACAUGUAAGAAGCGACUUGAUUUUACCUUCUAACUCUCCCUCCCUUUUAGCACAAUGCUGCAAAAUGACUGGCUCAUAAACCACUAAGCUGCCUUGGCAGCCACUUGUUAUUGUUACCAGUAGGUAAUAUGCUGUUUUCUUCUGCUUGGCACAUAAGCAGUAGGCAUGAAAUAAUUGCUUAAUGGAUAAGUAAGUUGUUAAAUUAUAAAACUCUGAUGGAUUGCUUAGUCCUUUAACAAUUUACACCCCCCUCCCACUUAUCCAAUUCUUUUGUGACAGAUUUUGCACUAGCAAAGUGCACUGUUUCAGACAAUCAAGGAAAUAAAACAUUUCUUGAUGAAAUCCUACCUCGCCUCAACAGGAAACUGAAUUGGAGUCCUCAAUUCUCAGUACAUCAGAACUAGUGUGUGAAAGGAUCAGGAGAGGACCAUAGUAUUGGAGAAUAAAACAUUAUGUAUUGAUGGUUGAGCUUUAUGUCAUCGUGUAGUAAAUGCUAUGACCAUAAAGCCAUUACUGUUAACACUUAAGUUUAUCUUCUGAAAGAAGCCUAUGAAAUAUCUCCAGAAAGACUAGGGGAUUUUCUUCUGUUUGUUUGUUUGUUUGUUUGAGAUGGAGUUUGCUCUGUUGCUCAGGCUGGAGUACAGUGGUGCGAUCUCGGCUCACUGCAACCUCUGCCUCCCAGGUUCAAGUCAUUCUCCUGCCUCAGCCUCUGGAGUAGCCAGGACUACGCACUGCGCCACCACACCCAGCUAAUUUUGUAUUUUUGGUGCAGACAGGGUUUCCCCAUGUUGGCCAGGCUGGUCUUGAACUCCUGGCCUCAAGUGAUCCGCCCACCUCGGCCCAAAGUGCUGGCCACCGCGCCCAGUCAGACUUGUUUUUUAGUGAAAUAAAUUGUUUUCCUUUAGGACCUUAUUCUUUAUGAUAACAGAUUCCAAGAAUAUGCAGUCUUGUCAAUGGCUGUUUCAUCCUCAGUUUCUUUAAAAAUAAAAUACAAUUAGAACAUUUUUAGAUAUGCUAUAUCUAUCCAAUCUAUUUUCCUGUCACCCAGUAAGGUUUUCUAUCAUCAGCACAGGUCUAUGAAAGGACAGUAAAGGGUCUCCUGUUACAUACCCUAGCACUAAUGUUUGUAAUAGAAUGUUAAGAUAAGUUGUUUCAUGUAAUCGGACUACAUUCAGUCUUUCUCUACCCUCUGUCCUCUAUUUACCCACCUAUGCAUGUGGCCUACUAAUUAUAUUGACUGUACAUGACCAGCAAGUUGUAAGUUCUUUUAAAAGCAGGAGCUCAACCAUAUUUGUAUUCACAUUUCCUUCUGCUUAAAACAGGGCUCUUGUUUCUUCAGUAAAUAUUCAUUCGGUAUCCACUAGGUGUCAGAUAAUAUACAAGGUAGGUUCUAGGGAUUCCAAGAUAAAUAAACACAGAUAUGCCAAUAUGAGUCUGACAGUUUUGGCGGGGAGAGGUGGAAAAUAGAUCUGCAAGCCAAAAAAGCUACAGUAGAAUAAUAUAAAUAUUGUAAUGGCAAUAAAAUACCAGAACUAUUAAUUUUACAUUUAGUAAUCAUUCAGUAUCAAUUAAAUGGGUAAAAUGGAUAUGUUGGCAUGAAUGACAUAUAACUGAAAAAACACUAAGAACUGUAUAGAAACUGAAUUAGACAUAUGAGUAAUAUUAGUAGGAAGGGGAGAGAAUAUUUGAUUCCAGGUAGGCUACCAAGCAGGAUGUUUUUUCAGCACAGCCUUGGAAUAAAAUCUGUAACCUUUGAAAACAAUCACAUUUUUGUUCUUAUGCAAUCUUUGUUUUUAAAUGUAUUUAUUGUUUUGGCUCUAGUCCCUGAAUGUUAAAAUUUUAGUGUCAGUGUUAAUUCUCACUUAUCUUCUCCAGACCUUACUCCCUAAUUUUCUCAUUUUCAUUUGCCCCAAUAAGUGCCAACCUUACCUUGAAUAGAAUAGUGGAUUUAUCAGCUUACAAGGACUAAAAAGUCGUCAUUUCCAAAAACAUCUGUCCAAUAAGUCUGCCUCAGUGACUACAUUUCUAGCAUUACAAUGUCAUUCUUAGUACACUGAUUUGAUCUUUACAAAUUACAUAAAUGUAUAAAAUUGUCGCAUGUACCCUAAAUUAUAUACAUCUAUUAUGUAUGUAUCAAUAAAAAAAUAAUUUUCUGUGCUUUUUCUCCUGUUAAAAAGAAUUCUUUUCUUUUUGAGACAGGGCCUGGCUCUGUCACCCAGGCUGGAGUGCAGUGGUGCAAUCUUGGCUCACUGCAGCCCCUGCCUCCCAGGCUGAAGUGAUCCUCCCACCUCAGCCUCCUGAGUAGUUGGGACUACAGAUGGGUACCACCAUGCCUGGCUAAGUUUUUGUAGAGACAGGGUUUUGCCAUGUUGUCCAGGCUGGUCUCAAACUCCUGAGCUCCAGCAGUCUUCCUGGCUUGGCUUCCCAAAGCGCUGGGAUUACAGGUGUGAGCCACCACACCCAGCUGAUUCUUUAGAAGACCAGUAUUGCAUUGUGAUUGCCUCUGGGCAGGAAAACUAAGGGGCAUCAGUAGACUAUGCAAUUACUUUCUUCCUCUUUAAAAAAGUAUUGUUAAUUUUUAAAUUUACAUAUUUUGGUAUACAAUUCUAUGAGUUUUGACAAAUGCAAAGAAUCAUAUAACCACCGCCAUAAUUGAGAUACUAAACAAUUCUAUCACCUCAAAAAAAAUCCUCUUGAGCUGUCUCAUUUAUAAUUUUUGUGAUUAAAAAUGGUUAUUUUUCAAAAAGUAACGUUUGGGCCAGUGCGCCUGGAGUGCACCAGUAGUCCCAGCUACUAGGGAGGCUGAGGCAGGAGAAUUGCUUGAACCCGGGAGGUGGCGAUUGCAAUCAGCUGAGAUCACACCACUGCACUCCACCCUGUGAGUGGGCUACAGAGUGACACUCUGUCUAAAAACAAAAACAAAAAAACACUUUAAAUGUUUCAUAUAGUUAUUCCUUAUUCAAAAAGUAUGCCUUUUUGGGUUAAGACAGUGCCAUUUCAAAUAGCCUUGUAGAAAUAUAAGCAAGGAAAUGCUAAAUUAUACCAUUAUUGAUCAUUAGUACCUUAGCUUGUAGUUUAAACUGUUGAAGAGAAUUAGGACUCCACCUGGCAUUGUGGCAUAAGCCAGUAGUCCCAGCUACCCAGGAGGCUGAGGCCUGAGCUCAGGAGUUCAAGACUAGACUGAGCACAUAGCGAGAUCUUGUCUCAAAAAAUGAAAGAAAAAGAAUUAGGACUCAGAAAAGGUAAAGGGUGUGUGUGUUUGAUUAGAUAGAGGAUGGGAUUGAAGGCUUAAGGAGGAGAUUAGGGCCUGAGAUGGAACAAUGCGCAUGGAAGGAUAGAUAUGGGUAGUGUGUUCUGAGUAAUAUAAGAGACCUAGAUUCUCAAAGAUAGAGGGCACCAAAGAGAUGAGUCCUGUAGAGGGGUGACCUUCAUGUAAAAAAUGAUCUAUCUUAAUUGGGAGCUACAGACCUGGGAUUCUGUACUGAACUUAUACAGAAUAAGUAAUUUACUCUUCAAAAGUCGCUUCCCCAGCUGGGCGCAGUGGCUCAUGGCUGUAAUCCCAACACUUUGGAAGGCUGAGGCAGGUGGAUCACCUGAGGUGAAACCCCGUCUCUACUAAAAAUAAAAAAAAAGUAGCCAGGCAUGGUGGUGGGUGCCUGUAAUCCCGGCUACUCGGGAGGCUGAGGCAGGAGAAUUGCUCGAAACCAAGAGGCAGAGGUCGCAGUGAGCUGAGAUGGUGCCAUUGCACUCCAGCCUGGGCGACAAAUGCAAAAACUGCAUCUAAAGAAAAAAAAAAAAAGUCACUACGCCUUUCUGGGCCUCAAUUUCAUAAUCUGUAAAAUAGUAAGGUUGGACUGAGUAUAUACCAAGGUCCAUUUCAGAGUUCUCCAGCUAGAAGCAAAACCCUUGUGUGUAUGUGUUAGUUUUUUUCCCCUAAGGUUUUGUCCUCUAGUUUUAACUAGAGAGACACAUUUGGGAUAUUAAUAACCGAAUUCUAGCAAGCAUUAUGAUCUCUUCAGAUUUCAUGUAGUUUGAUGUCAGAAGCUGCAUAGCAAAGUUAAGCCUGAUCUGAAUUGGCUUCAAGUGGAUAGAGCUGUAUGACCCUCAGUCUUCUCAUGUAUAGAAUGACUUAUAUACUCUAAACUUCCUUGUAGUUUUCAUAUUUCAUGACUAUGAAACCUGUGAAAACUUACCAGUGUUUUUUCUAUUCAUACUUCCUUUGAGUCUGCAGCUGCUGUUCUUCUGAUUUGAUUUUUUUGUUGUUUAUUUUUAUUAGCCACUAUUCAUUCAGUACCUUUUAUAUGUCAAAACGUUUGAUAUUUAACCUACGUUAUUUAAGGGCUUUUGUACUGCUGCUGUACUUUAUAGGUGCAUAGAUAUGGUAAAAUCACACCAUGCCUCCUGCUCUGACUCUGGAUAACAUAUUCCUACAGCAGGAUCUCAUUUCAAUAAAAAUUAAAAGAAACACUAGAGAGAGGAAGAAGGGGAGAAGAUAAAUGUGGCUUUAAAUUGAUAAGUGAAAGGCAAGGAACUAACAUUUGAGGAUCUACUAUGUGUUAGACACUUUAUAACAUGGAUCUUCUUUAGAUCAUUGAGAUAAGCAGGUAGAAAGACAUCACAAAGGGAGUCUGCUUGUAUUGAUAGCAAGAAGAAAAAAAUGACUUCAUGCCAUAAAUCACUGGAAUUAUUCAGAAUUUUUGUUUUGCAUGUUAUCCUCCAUUAUGAGGACAAAGACAGCAUAAUGUCUCUAUGUAGUAAGUGUUUGGUGAAUGUUUAUUGAAUAAGUAGGGAUUUUUAUCAUGCAUAUAGUAGUGUUUCUUAAUGUUUUGGAUCCAUGGACUUAUAAAAAUUUUAUAAAAGCUAUGGCUACAUCCAGGAUGUUACCUCCCUCCCCUGCCACACACAAAAGGAAACAGCCAAGUCCCUCCCCUCACUCUAACCAUUCCCACAUCUAUAUUUGUGUAAAACCCAUGAUUUUAAACUGUUUGCAGCCCCUCUGUAAUCCAUUCACAUGACCCAAGAACUCAGCCCUGGAAACAUCUCUGGGUAUCCAGGUAGACUAAAAGCAUAGUUCCAUUAAUUUAUAGUGCUAUAUGGUUCUGCCAUGCUUUAUUGGUCCUUUAUAGACUUGAGAAAAUCACACCAUGCCUCUUGACCAUUAACAAAUGGUCAUGUUCAGUCUUCCUUUUUAUGAGUGGAAAUUCCAUCCAAUUUGCUUUUAGGUUCAUUAAUAUGUACUACAACCAAAAGAUCAGCAGCAUUAUAUACUUUAUCUUUUUUAGUCUUUUGAAGUACAAAUUAUGCGAUUUUACAGAUAAAUUAUCUCAUGGGUAGCAUAUGUCUGGCUUUCUAGGUGGAAUGAUUCCUAUUUCUUUUUGUACCUCUCCCCAUUCAGAACUCACUUUGAGGCCAAGCGUGGUUGCUCAGGCCUGUAAUCCCAGCACUUUGGGAGGCCGAGGCAGGUGGAUCACCUGAGGUCAGGAGUUGGAGACCAGCCUGGCCAACACGACAAACCCCGUCUCUACUAAAAAUACAAAAAUUAGCCUGGCAUGGUGGCACACACCUGUAAUUCCAGCUGCUCGGGAGGCUGAAGCAUGAGAAUCACUUGAACCUGGGAGGCAGAGGUUGCAGUGAGCCAAGGUUGCAGUGGAUCAAGAUCACACCACUGCACUCCAGCCUGGGCAAUAGAGUGAGACUCUGUCUCAAGAAGAAGAAAAAGAAAAAAAACUCACUUUAAACUCUGCUAGACCAUUGCCCUUGUAUGUGAAAUUUUAUCUGGAUAGAAGAAGAUGAGGAAAAAAAUUUUCUUGUCUUUUAGUGGAGGAGAAUGACAUGUAAAACAAGUAUUCUUUAAAAAUUCCAAAUAUGAUAUGAGAACUACCCCAUAAAGUUGUGAAGGUCACAUUGGUGAAAGGAAAACUAAGUGCUGUGUAAAUUACAAAGUUGUCUAAGUAUCCACCUGGUCCUUACCUUGCUAUAGAAUCUUUUUUUUUUUUAGACGGAGUCUAGCUCUGUCGCCCAGGCUGGAGUGCAGUGGCGCAAGCUCCGCUUACUGCAAGCUCCGCCUCCUGGGUUCAUGCCAUUCUCCUGCCUCAACCGCCCGAGUAGCUGGGAUUACAGGUGCCCACCACCACGCCCAGCUAAUUUUUUUUUUUUUUUUGUAUUUUUAGUAGAGACGGGGUUUUCCCAUGUUAGCCAGGAUGGUCUUGAUCUCCUGACCUCGUGAUCUGCCCACCUCGGCCUCCCAAGGUGCUGGGAUUACAGGUGUGAGCCACCACGCCCAGCCUACCUUGCUAUAGAAUCUUUAGGCCUAAUAUAGUCUAGCCAGAACAGCUAUUUGGAUGCUUGCCUAAUCUUCAAUACUGGUUUCCCUUUUAUACAUGACUGCAAAACUGACUCUCACCUAGGUUUGUGAUGUUAGAAACUCCAGUUGUUUACUAUUAUUAUUAAAGUGGGAAACGGAGUUCGUUGAUCAAAUGGAUUAAUGUUUUGAGUACUUACUAUACACCAGGGGCUCUUAAAUUUUUACAUAAACUUUCUGGAUGGAGAGUGAUAGAAUCUCCAUUGUUCACUUGCCACAAGCCACACCAUUUGUAGCUAACAUUUGAAUGCUUACUAUGAGCAAAGGCACUGUUCCAAGGGCAUUACAUGCACAUCAUUCAUAUUUCUCAUUUAAUCUUUAUAACAACUCCUUAAAAUACUGGUAGUAUUCUUGUUCCCUAAUUUGUCAAUAAGAAAACUGAAAUUUAGAGAUUAUACAAUUUGCCCAGCACUAUUGGAAAGCUGGGACUUUGAAACCUGGCUGAUUUGACUCCAAAGUCUGCACUCUAUUCCAACAGACUGCCAGUGCCUCCAGAAUUAAUUAGCAUUAAUAUUUUCUGUUGUUUAUGAUCUAAGUAUGGCUGUCCAUGGCAGGGAGUUAAUGAGGGAGGCAUUAAUGGGGAAACACUGGACCACUUCUGAGAGAUGUGGUGCCCUCCCUCACAAACAGGUUUCUUGUGGUGAAAUCAGGUUGGAAGGAUAAGAGAGGCUGAAGAAGGUGGAGGUGGUGUAGUUGGGCCUGUUUAGGAACUGAUUACAUCUGAGCCUCUGGCCCUUUUUCCUGCCAGCUGACUCAGAGCUGGCAGAUGGGCCAAAGUCCAGGCAGGUUGAUUUCAUGGGCUGUAUACUUCAAAGGAUCUGAUUCCUGGUGCUACUAAGCACAUUGCUUUUCCGAAGGCACAGUCUUGUGGGGGAGGGAACAGGAUGGUCUCCAUGAGGUGUUUGUGAAAGCCCUAGGCAAUGUUUGCUCUAAUCCAAAUAUAUACAGCUUGUUUUGAGUUUGGCAAUAAAACACAGAGCCAGCCCUAAGCAGGGCUGAAAACUGAGUAUUUAAACCUUAAGUAUUCUGCAAUACAACAACAGUUAAGUAUAUGGGUCCUAGAGUCAGAUAGAACUGAAAUCUAAUCUUGACUUCACCACUCAGCUGUAGAUAAAUUACUAGACCUCAGUUUUCUUGUUCGUGAAAUGGGGAUUUUAGUUAUAGAGUACCUACUUCAUAUGGUUGUCGUGAGGAUUAAACAAAAAUGUAUACCACAGUACCUGAGAUGUAGUAAACACUCUUGAAACAUUAGUCAUUAUUCAUUUUUUAAAUUUUUCCUUCAAAUACUUUCCUAUCCAAUAGUCAUUAUUCAUUGAAAACUUCUAUUUUAUAAGACGAUCUCAGCACUUAAACAAAAUAAAUUGAUUCAUCAUGUUUUCACUUAACAGGCAUUCAAAAGGCAUUUAUUAUUGUGUUGGGUAGAUGGAUGGAGAAAAUAGCAAUAAUUUUUGUUGAACACCUAAAAUGAGCCAAACUUUUUAAAAAAUAUUGUCUCAUUUUAUGCUCACAACAGCUCUAUGAAGUAUUUUCCUAUAUUAUAGAUGAGAUCAUGGGCCAAGAGAGGAUUAGCAACAUGCCUAAGAUCAUAUAGUCAGCACUGUCUAAUUCUGAAGCCUAUGAAUAAGGUAGCAUUUAUCCCCACGGAAGCAUGGUAUUCAGCAGGCAGGCAGACACAUAAACAAGUACAGCUGGCCCAUCUAGCCUCACGUUCUGCAUCCAUGGAUUCAACCAAAAAUGGAUUUAAAAUAUUGGGGAAAAAACAAAUAAUAAAACAACUAAAAAAUACAAAUUUUAAAAUAUAGUAUAACAACUACUUACAUAGCUUUUACAUUGUAUUAGGUAUUAUAAGUAAUGUAGAGAUGGUUUAAAGUAUACAAGAGAGUCUGGACACAGUGGCUUAUGCCUGUAAUCCCAGCUUUUUGGGAGGCCAAGGUGGGUGGAUCCCUUGAGCCCAGGAGUUUGAGACCAGCCUGAGCAACAAGAUGAAACCCUGUCUCUACAAAAAAUACAAAAAUUAGCCAGAUGUGUUGGUGCAUGCCUGUGGUCCCAGCUACUCGGGAGAGUGAGGUGGGAGAAUCACUUGAGCCUCAGAGAUCGAGGCUGCAGUAAGCUGUAAUCACGCCACUGCACUCCAGCCUGGGUGACAGAGUAAGACCCUGUCUCAAAAGUAAUAAUAAUAAUAAAGUAUACAAGAGGAUGUCAUAUGUUAUAUGCAAAUAUUAUACCUUUUUUUUUUUUUUUUUUUGAGACAGUCUCUUGCUCUGUUGCCCAGGCUGGAGUAGAGUGGUGCUAUCAUAGCUGACUGUAACCUCGAACUCUUUCCUGAACUUGAGUGAUCUUCCUGCUUCAGCCUCCCAAGUAGCUGAGACUACAGGCAUGUGCCAUCACAUCCAGCUAAUUUUUAAUUUUUAAUUUUUUUUGUAGAGAUGGGGUCUCACUGUGGUGCCCAGGCUGUUAUGCCAUUUUAUAUAAGGGACUUGAACAUCUGCAGAUUUCAAGGGGAAAGAGUUUGAGGUUACAGUCAGCUAUGAUAGCACCACUCUACUCCAGCCUGGGCAACAGAGCCAGAGACUGUCUCAAAAAAAAAAAAAAAAAGAGGAGAGUCCUGGAACCAACUCCCCACAGUUAUGGAGGAAGGACUGUACCUACAGUCAAAGUGCUGUCGUUGAGUUUUACACUAGGUGCUUGGGAGAACAGAAUGGAAUAGGUGAACUCUGGGCAUGAAGUGAAGGUAGUCCCCUUCACAGGAAUAAAUGCUAAUAAUGGGGCUUCAGGUGAGAAUGAGGAAGGAAGCCUUUGCUGGUGGAGGAGUUAAGGGAGUUCUUUCUGGGUUUCCCUAAGUCACACUAGAAGAAAAGGGUUACAGGGAGGCCUUUCUGGAAUUCCUCAAGUCAAUAUGACAGCCUCUUAGAUCCAGCAUUACAACUGCAGCAAAUUUUAUAGCUGCAAACAAAGAAACUGUCUCCAGAGAGACAGAUUAUGUUGUUUACUUGAGGCAAAAUGGUGGGGGUUCUAUAUAAAUGAUAUGUCUGCAUCCGAAUCAUCUGUACCUUUUUGGGCUUUAGAACCAAACCUAAUAGUAAUAAUAGCAACCAAUUCUUAACUGCAUGAUCAUUAGGUACUAAUCACUGCUAUGUUCACAGGCUAGAACUCUCAACUGGAGAAAGGUAGAGUUGUUUGUCUAAAUCAAUAAUCUCAAAUUAAGUACACUUAAUUUGAGCAUAUACCCCCAAUAUAUGUAUAUUACUUUAUAAGUUAUACACAUCCACUAUUGGGCUAAUAUAAAAUAUACAUUAUGAAAUGUAAACAAAAAGUUUGAAGGAAUACAAUGAAAAUGAAUAAACUUUUAUCUCAGGGAAAAUAUAUACUUAGGUUUCUGUAUCUUGUUAUUAAGUGGAUACAAAUUAAUACUGUAUUUCAAAUAGAUUUUUUAAUAGUUUUGGAUGUUUUGAGUCAGCUGGUCAGAUUUUGUUAAUCAUUGUAUUUAACUUCAUAAUGUGACUGAUGAAGGGAUCAUACUAAGUAAAAGUGUCAGUUCUGCCAUUUGAGAGUGGGGGAUCCUAUGUAUCAUCUUCAAUUCACAGGGUUUUCUUUUUCCCAGCAAUUUUUUAAAACCAAUUAUUCACUUUGUAAUAUUUCAUUUUGUUAAAGUUAGAUUUUAAAAAUCCAUAAAUCCCCUUUUGAACCACAAUAUGUCACUAAUGCUCAAAGAAAGAAACUCCAUUUGUAUCUCAUCUGAUGUGAGCGUCAAAUAUAGAAACAAUGUGGGGAUGCCAACCUCAAUCCAUAUGGAUGAAUAGGGCUUAAUUUUCUCAUGAUAAACCUAAGUAGAAGCUAUGAAAAUUCUUACCACACUUCAGUGAAUUAUCUUGUAUACCUCUAGAGUGAGCACAUUCCACUUUGGAGAUCAGUAGUCUCAGCAACAAGACCUGUGGCCAUAAAGUGGGAAUAAACAAUCCAAUUUUUAGCAAUGCUUGGCCCAGAUUCACUUAUGAGUGACAUGAGAAAGGUACAACAUGAUAUUCCAGGAAAUCAGAAGAGCUAAGUAUAUCUGAACCUUUGAGAGUAUGGCCUGUCCAUACAAAGGCAGAAUCUACAUUUGUCAAGUGCCUUCAAGAAACAUUCUACCAAGAUAUGCACCUCCACAAAAGUAAGAAAAAGAGAAAAAAAAGAUUUUAAAAUUUUAUUUUAUUUUUUUGAGAUGGAGUCUCGCUCUGUCCCCCAGGUUGGAGUGCAGUGGCGCUAUCUCAGCUCACUGCAAGCUCCGCCUCCCAGGUUCACUCCAUUCUCCUGCCUCAGCCUCCCAAGUAGCUGGGACUACAGGCGCCCACCACCACACCCGGCUAUUUUUUUUUUUUUGUAUUUUUAGUAGAGACGGGGUUUCACCGUGUUAGCCAGGAUGGUCUCAAUCUCCUGACCUCGUGAUCCACCCACCUUGGCCUCCCAAAGUGCUGGGAUUACAGGCGUGAGCCACCGCACCUGGCCUUUAAAAUUUUAUUUUUAAAAAAUCACACACACACAAAAUACAUUCUACUUUUUAAGAAAAUUGACUUAGAUUUAAUCCCAGCUCUGCUAUUUGCUAACCAUGCAAUUUUGGGAAAGUAACGACCUAUUGGAGCCUGUUUCCCAUCUCCAAAGUGAGAAUGAUUAAUGCUAUACCUACUUCACUGAGAAGAAGAGUGUAUCAUGGUCAUAUUGACCCCUCACUAUGUGCAUAGAGAUGCUGAGCUAAACUCUUUACAAGCGUUUAUUUAAUCCUCAAUAUACCAGUGACUAGAGGCUAAGCAGUUUACCAAAGCAUUUUCCUUUCCCUCCUUAGCACACAGGACUAUAUUUCCUGGCCUCCUUUGCAGUUAGGUGCAGCCACAUUACUGUGUUCUAGCCAUUGAAAUAUGGAAAGAAAUGAUCAAUACUACCUCCAGCCCUGGCCCAUAAAACUUUCCUUUCCAUUCUUCGUGCUCUCAUUCUUCCUUCAUCUGCCGGAGGAUUCAGCAGAACCAUUAGGUGCACAGAGCUCUUCUCUCCUCCCACUACUUCCAACGUGCAUUGAACUGUGAUGUGAGCCAGAAAUAAACUCUUAUUGUGUUAAAUCAUUAAGAUGUGAGAAUUGUUUGUUGCAAGAGUUAGCAUACCCUGACU
This 16256-nucleotide long non-coding RNA is filed under the name Homo sapiens (human). RNAcentral's name for it is "HSALNT0364129". The record is from RNAcentral. Lineage: Eukaryota; Metazoa; Chordata; Mammalia; Primates; Hominidae.